Molecule: ribosomal RNA, 379 nt
Filed under: uncultured Acinetobacter sp.
Lineage: Bacteria; Pseudomonadati; Pseudomonadota; Gammaproteobacteria; Moraxellales; Moraxellaceae
Description: bacterial SSU rRNA
Rfam family: Bacterial small subunit ribosomal RNA
Source: RNAcentral
UACAGAGGGUGCAAGCGUUAAUCGGAUUUACUGGGCGUAAAGCGCGCGUAGGCGGCUAAUUAAGUCAAAUGUGAAAUCCCCGAGCUUAACUUGGGAAUUGCAUUCGAUACUGGUUAGCUAGAGUGUGGGAGAGGAUGGUAGAAUUCCAGGUGUAGCGGUGAAAUGCGUAGAGAUCUGGAGGAAUACCGAUGGCGAAGGCAGCCAUCUGGCCUAACACUGACGCUGAGGUGCGAAAGCAUGGGGAGCAAACAGGAUUAGAUACCCUGGUAGUCCAUGCCGUAAACGAUGUCUACUAGCCGUUGGAGCCUUUGAGGCUUUAGUGGCGCAGCUAACGCGAUAAGUAGACCGCCUGGGGAGUACGGUCGCAAGACUAAAACUC